RNAcentral lists this ribosomal RNA (468 nucleotides) under uncultured bacterium. RNAcentral describes it as "partial 16S ribosomal RNA". It matches the Rfam family "Bacterial small subunit ribosomal RNA", at positions 28 to 507 of the family's 1533-position model. The record is from RNAcentral.
GACGAACGCUGGCGGCGUGCUUAACACAUGCAAGUCGAACGGAAAGGCCCUGCUUUUGUGGGGUGCUCGAGUGGCGAACGGGUGAGUAACACGUGAGUAACCUGCCCUUGACUUUGGGAUAACUUCGGGAAACUGGGGCUAAUACCGGAUAGGAGCUCCUGCUGCAUGGUGGGGGUUGGAAAGUUUCGUCGGUUGGGGAUGGACUCGCGGCUUAUCAGCUUGUUGGUGGGGUAGUGGCUUACCAAGGCUUUGACGGGUAGCCGGCCUGAGAGGGUGACCGGCCACAUUGGGACUGAGAUACGGCCCAGACUCCUACGGGAGGCAGCAGUGGGGAAUAUUGCACAAUGGGCGGAAGCCUGAUGCAGCAACGCCGCGUGCGGGAUGACGGCCUUCGGGUUGUAAACCGCUUUCGCCUGUGACGAAGCGUGAGUGACGGUAAUGGGUAAAGAAGCACCGGCUAACUACGUG